Non-coding RNA from Castor canadensis (American beaver), 1196 nucleotides. NCBI's taxonomy places the organism in Eukaryota, Metazoa, Chordata, Mammalia, Rodentia, Castoridae. The record is from RefSeq and is a predicted model, not a curated record.
UAUUAGUAGGUACUUAAUGCCUGUGAGUAUGGUCAUUAAGACAUUUAGUAAGUUUUAGGGUUAUGGCUAUUAAAUGUGAAUAUAAGUAGGGUAAAAUUUUGUUUUUCACAGAUAUAUGGCUCCAAGAAUACUAACAGUUUGGAAAUAUUAGGAAUGCUGAAGACUCAUAGAGUUCAGUACUCUGAAGUUACUCAAAUUUAUCUAACUGUGUAUACAGUAUGGUUGGGCAUGCCAGUAACCUCAGCUACUGAGAGGUGAGGAUUUGGAAGAUGGUCUUUCAAAGCAAACCCAGGAAAGAAUUGGUACUGAGGCUGGAGUUCCAGUGAACGCAAGCAGCACUACUGGUCUCCCAAGUAAAAUGGAACAAGUGAACCUUGCUGCACAAGUUUAAAUAGAAGCCCGUUGGCACUGGCAAGUUCAUAUGGAGAGACAUGAGGUCAGAAGCAACAGAAGUCAGCACCGGUGCCUUAGUCUCUCCUAUGGCAGUGACUAUGAUGUCUGCGAUGGAGGACAUGGUAGAAUCUGUUCUCAUUACAUCUAGAUGACUGUCAGUGAUUUUGAGGCUUCUUUUGGUGUCAGGCAAGAAUUAAGGAUGGCAUCCAGGGUCAUAAAUCAACAUGGUUGUUAUUAGUGCCUUUGUAUUGAAGAUAGAGAAAUUCAGUGAUAAUGUGGACUGUGGUACCUGAUACUUCAAAUGUAAGACUGUUUACUGGAGAAAAGCAUUUACCUGAACCUCAAACAGUUCCCCACAAUGUGUCUGGUGAGGCAGUGAGACUCUCCUGCUUUUAGCAAUGUUUUUUUGCAGAAAUAAUGGAGUACUCUUGAGCUUUCCCAUUUACAUUUCCUAGAUAAUGUGGUGUUUCCAUCAGGCCAGGAGCUAGUGUUACACAGCACUUUAUUCCUCUCACUAUGAUUCUACCCUGUGUUUCACAAUGAAAAUCAUAUUUAAGAUGAAUGAUUUCUUGGGAUCAGUUAAAAAUGAAAACACAUGGAUAUAAGAACAAUCACUUCAUGACAUCUCUGCACAAAUUCAUCCAAGAUUCUUUUUACAUUGAUCUAAAGACUAUUUAAUUGCCUUCAUCAUCAAUUUCUUACAAUCUCCACAGCUAUAGUAAGUUGUAAACUAUAUCAGCAGAAGGACUGAAGUCCAUUUCAUUGCCAUUUUAGUGCAAUGUCAUGCUCAUUUUUCAUUUACU